RNAcentral lists this ribosomal RNA (439 nucleotides) under uncultured bacterium. RNAcentral's name for it is "partial 16S ribosomal RNA". It matches the Rfam family "Bacterial small subunit ribosomal RNA", at positions 339 to 795 of the family's 1533-position model. The record is from RNAcentral.
CUACGGGUGGCACCAGUGAGGAAUAUUGCACAAUGGGGGGAACCCUGAUGCAGCAACGCCGCGUGGAGGAUGACGCAUUUCGGUGUGUAAACUCCUUUUAUAUGUCAAGAAAAUGACGGUAGCAUAUGAAUAAGCACCGGCUAACUCCGUGCCAGCAGCCGCGGUAAUACGGAGGGUGCAAGCGUUGCUCGGAAUCACUGGGCGUAAAGGACGCGUAGGCGGGUUGGAAAGUCAGGUGUGAAAUCCUACCGCUUAACUGUAGAACUGCACUUGAAACUUCUAAUCUAGAGUAUGGGAGGGGGAGAUGGAAUUAGUGGUGUAGGGGUAAAAUCCGUAGAUAUCACUAGGAAUACCUAAAGCGAAGGCGAUCUCCUGGAACAUUACUGACACUAAGGCGUGAAAGCGUGGGGAGCAAACAGGAUUAGAUACCCCCGUAGUC